AGCAACUUGACGCAGUGGAAGCGUGCGGGGCUCAUAUCACGUGAUACCCCGAAGUCCCUGGAUCGAAACCAGGAGUUGCUA
This is a non-coding RNA of Fomitopsis serialis, 81 nucleotides long. NCBI's taxonomy places the organism in Eukaryota, Fungi, Basidiomycota, Agaricomycetes, Polyporales, Fomitopsidaceae. The record is from the annotation of a RefSeq genome assembly.